RNAcentral lists this ribosomal RNA (499 nucleotides) under uncultured bacterium. Its description in RNAcentral is "partial 16S ribosomal RNA". It matches the Rfam family "Bacterial small subunit ribosomal RNA", at positions 28 to 507 of the family's 1533-position model. The record is from RNAcentral.
GACGAACGCUGGCGGCGUGCCUAAUACAUGCAAGUCGAGCGAAGUUUUUCUGGCGCUUGCACUAGAAAAACUUAGCGGCGAACGGGUGAGUAACACGUAAGGAACCUGCCUCAUAGACUGGGACAACUAUUGGAAACGAUAGCUAAUACCGGAUAACAGUAUUUCUCGCAUGAGAGAUAUUUAAAAGUUGGUUAUGCUAACACUAUGAGAUGGCUUUGCGGUGCAUUAGCUAGUUGGUGGGGUAAAGGCCCACCAAGGCGACGAUGCAUAGCCGACCUGAGAGGGUGAUCGGCCACACUGGGACUGAGACACGGCCCAGACUCCUACGGGAGGCAGCAGUAGGGAAUCUUCCGCAAUGGGCGAAAGCCUGACGGAGCAACGCCGCGUGAGUGAAGAAGGAUUUCGGUUCGUAAAGCUCUGUUGUUAGGGAAGAAUGGAUAUGUAGUAACUAUACAUGUAAGAGACGGUACCUAACCAGAAAGCCACGGCUAACUACGUG